UACAUUCCUCGUUCGGGCUCCGACAGCAACAGUCACUGCUGGCUCUUCAUCUGGGCUAGACUCCCUCAUCGAACAUGGUUUCCUCGCAAAACCAGAACGAGCAUAAUGAAGGAACAAGAAUGGAAGCUAGGGGUCAGAAGACUCCGGUAACACCCAGACAGGUUGUGAUUUUGGUUGCGGUGAGCGGUACGGGCCUCGUCAACGGCAUGAUGUUUGGCUGGAGCGCGGUCUUGCCCAAGCUCCAGGAGGACACCAGCAGGUUCACGGUGACCGAGGACGACGUGUCAUGG
Molecule: long non-coding RNA, 290 nt
Organism: Penaeus monodon (black tiger shrimp)
Lineage: Eukaryota; Metazoa; Arthropoda; Malacostraca; Decapoda; Penaeidae
Exons: 3
Source: RefSeq, a predicted model, not a curated record